This is an RNA transcript of Mus pahari (shrew mouse), 2013 nucleotides long. It is a transcript of the gene named RAF proto-oncogene serine/threonine-protein kinase pseudogene, with no coding region annotated. The record is from RefSeq and is a predicted model, not a curated record. The transcript has a single exon. NCBI's taxonomy places the organism in Eukaryota, Metazoa, Chordata, Mammalia, Rodentia, Muridae.
CUUCCUCAGGUAUAAGUAUUGUUUAAACUGCAUCGAUGGAGCACAUACAGGGAGCUUGGAAGAUGAUCAGCAAUGGCUUUGGACUCAAAGAUGCGGUGUUUGAUGGCUCCAGCUGCAUCUCCCCUACCAUUCUUCAGCAGUUUGGCUAUCAGCGCCGGGCCUCAGAUGAUGGCAAACUCACGGAUUCUUCUAAGACAAACAAUACUAUCCGGGUUUUCUUGCCAAAUAAGCAAAGGACUGUGGUCAAUGUGCGGAAUGGAAUGAGCUUGCACUGCCUUAUGAAGGCUCUGAAGGUGAGAGGCCUGCAGCCAGAUUGCAUCGUUCAGAUUCCUCCAGGAACACAAAGGUAAGAAAGCAGGCUUAGAUUGGAACGCUGAUGCCGCCUCUCUGAUUGGAGAAGAACUGCAAGUGGAUUUUUUGGAUCAUGUUCCACUCACAACUCACAACUUUGCUCGGAAAACAUUCCUGAAGCUUGCAUUCUGUGACAUCUCUCAGAAGUUCCUGCUAAAUGGAUUUCGAUGUCAGGCUUGUGGCUACAAGUUUCAUGAGCACUGUAGCACCAAACUACCUACUAUGUGUGUGGACUGGAGUAAUAUCAGACAGCUCUUGCUGUUUCCAAAUUCCACUGUUGGUGACAGUGGAGUCCCAGCACCACCUUCUUUCCCAAGGCAUAGGAUGUGAGAAUCUGUUUCCCGGAUGCCUGCUAGUUCCCAGCACAGAUACUCCACACCCCAUGCCUUCACUUUCAACACCUCCAACCCUUCCUUGGAAGGUUUCCUGUCCCAGAGGCAGAGGUCAACGUCCACUCCCAAUGUCCACAUGGUCAGCACCACCCUGUAUGUGGACAGCAGGAUGAUUGAGGAUGCAAUUCGAAGUCACAGUGAACCAGCCUCACCUUCAGCCCUGUCCAAACAACCUGAGUCCAACAGGCUGGUCACAGCCCAAAACGCCUGUGCCAGAAUAAAGAGAGCGGGAACCGGGAUCUGGGACCCAGGAAAAAAACAAAAUUAGGCCUCGUGGGCAGAGAGACUGAAGUUAUUACUGGGAAAUAGAAGCCAGUGAGGUGAUGCUGUCUACUCGGAUCGGGUCAGGCUCCUCUGGCACUGUGUACAAGGGCAAGUGGCAUGGAGAUGUUGCAGUAAAGAUCCUAAAGGUGGUUGACCCAACUCUAGAACAACUUCAGGCCUUCAGGAACGAGGUGGCUGUUUUGCGCAAAACACGGCAUGUUAACAUCCUGUUGUUCAUGGGGUAUAUGACAAAGGACAACCUGGUGAUUGUGACCCAGUGGUGUGAGGGCAGCAGUCUCUACAAACACCUACAUGUCCAGGAGACGAAAUUCCAGAUGUUCCAGCUAAUUGACAUUGCCCGACAGACAGCUCAGGGAAUGGACUAUUUGCAUGCAAAGAACAUCAUUCACAGAGACAUGAAAUCCAACAACAUAUUUCUCCAUGAAGGCCUCACAGUGAAAAUUGGAGAUUUUGGUUUGGCAACAGUGAAGUCACGCUGGAGUGGUUCUCAGCAGGUUGAACAGCCCACUGGCUCUGUGCUGGGGAUGGCCCCAAAAGUAACCCAGAUGCAGGAUAACAACCCGUUCAGCUUCCACUCUGACGUCUACACCUGUGGCAUCGUGCUGUAUGAGCUGAUGACCGGGGAGCUUCCCUAUGCCCACACCAACAACAGAGACCAGAUCAUCUUCAUGGUAGGCCAUGGGUAUGCCUCCCCAGAUCUCAGCAGGCUCUACAAGAACUGCCCCAAGGCAAUGAAGAGGUUGGUGGCUGACUGUGUGAAGAAAGUCAAAGAAGAGAGACCUUUGUUUCCCCCGAUCCUGUCUUCCCUCGAGCUGCUUCAGCACUCUCUUCCGAAAAUCAACAGGAGCGCCUCUGAGCCUUCCCUGCAUCGGGCAGCUCACACUGAGGACAUCAAUGCGUGCACACUGACUAUAUCUCCAAGGCUACCAGUCUUCUAGCUGAUGAUGUAGCUGUUCUUAGGCCACCAGGGGACGAAGAAGAGUCA